RNAcentral lists this ribosomal RNA (2443 nucleotides) under human gut metagenome. Its description in RNAcentral is "bacterial LSU rRNA". It matches the Rfam family "Bacterial large subunit ribosomal RNA", at positions 1 to 2326 of the family's 2925-position model. The record is from RNAcentral.
GGUUGCUUGCAAGGGCGUAUGGUGGAUGCCUUGGCAGACAGUACCGAUGAAGGACGUUUGAGGCUGCGAUAUGCCUCGGGGAGCCGCCAGCAGGGCUUUGAUCCGAGGAUUUCCGAAUGGGGGAACCCGCCGGCCGUCAUGGGCCGGCACCGCGUUCGCGCGGGGGGUACGCAGGGAAGUGAAACAUCUCAGUACCUGCAGGAAAGGAUGUUCCGUGAGUAGUGGCGAGCGAAAGCGGAUCAGGCCAAACCGCGCGCGUGUGACAGGCGCCAGCCGUUGCGCGCGUGGUGUUGAGGGAGCGUGUGUCCGGGUCCUGGCGGGCCCGGUCGGAGUGAUAAAACGGCGUGUGAGGCGAACCGGAUUGAAUGCCGGGCCGCAGAGGGUGAUGGCCCCGUAGCCGAACGCGCGUCGUCUCCGGAUCGUGUCUCCCAAGUAGCGCGGGACUCGUGGAAUCCCGUGUGAAUCCGCCCCGACCGUGGGGUAAGCCUAGAUAUACCUGUCUGACCGAUAGCGAACUAGUACCGUGAGGGAAAGGUGAAAAGCACCCCGGGAGGGGAGUGAAACAGUCUCUGAAACCGUGCGCUUACAAACCGUCGGAGCCUUUCGGGGUGACGGCGUGCCUAUCGAAAAAUGAGUCUGCGAGUCAGUGGCACGUGGCGAGCGUAACCCGUGUGGGGUACGCGUAGCGAAGGCGAGUCUCAAAAGGCGUUUGAGUCGCGUGUCCUGGACCCGAAGCGGGAUGAUCUAGCCCUGAGCAGGUUGAAGCGCGGGUAAGACCGCGUGGAGGACCGAACCCACCUGGGUUGAAAACCGGGGGGAUGACCUGGGGCUAGGGGUGAAAGGCCAAUCAAAUUCCGUGAUAGCUGGUUCUCUCCGAAAUGCAUUUAGGUGCAGCGUCGGGGAUUACGUCCGGGGGGUAGAGCUACUGGAUGCUUGAGGGCCCGUAUCGGGUACCGACAGCAGCCAAACUCCGAAUACCCGUGACGCGUAUCCCGGCAGUGAGUCGGCGGGGGAUAAGCUCCGUCGUCGAAAGGGAGACAGCCCAGAUCGUCGUCUAAGGUCCCCAAGCGCGUGCUAAGUGGGAAAGGAUGUGGAGUCGCAUAGACAGCCAGGAGGUUGGCUCAGAAGCAGCCAUCCUUGAAAGAGUGCGUAACAGCUCACUGGUCUAGUGGUUCCGCGCCGACAAUGUAGCGGGGCUCAAGCACGCCACCGAAGACGCGGCAGCGUCCGUUUGGAUGCUGGGUAGGAGAGCGUCCCCAUCGGGGCGAAGCGGCGGCGCAAGCCUGCCGUGGACCGUUGGGGAGUGAGAAUGCAGACAUGAGUAGCGAGAGGCGGGUGCGAAUCCCGCCCGCUGGAUGACCAAGGGUUCCGGGGCCACGUUCGUCGUCCCCGGGUGAGUCGGGUCCUAAGGCGAGGCCGACAGGCGUAGUCGAAUGGAUGAACGGGCUGAUAUUCCCGUACCGGCAGCGAACCGAAACAACCGAGGCCUGGGGCGCUAACCUCCGGGUCCGUGCCGUCUCCCCUUUCGGGGGGUCGCGGCGCGGGCGCGUUGGGAUCCCCCCUCGUAGUAGGUCAGCGCAGGAGUGACGCAUCAGGGCAGCCGGCCGCGGAGGUGGUUUUCCGUGGUCAAGCGUUCGAGCCCGUCCCGCAGGCAAAUCCGCGGGGCGUCGGGGCGAGGCGUGAUGAUGGGGGCCUUACGGCCCGAAUCCGGUGAUCCGUGGUGCCGAGAAAAGCUUCGGCGUCAGGCGCGUUGCCGCCCGUACCCCAAACCGACACUGGUGGUCAGGUAGAGAAUACCAAAGCGAUCGAGCGAAUCCUGGUCAAGGAACUCGGCAAAUUGCUCCCGUGCCUUCGGCAUAAGGGAGACCCCCUGCGGUGAUGAGCGGCGGGGGGUGGCACAGGCCAGGGGGUAGCGACUGUUUACCAAAAACACAGGAGCGUGCGAAGGCGCAAGCCGCUGUAUACGCUCUGACGCCUGCCCGGUGCCGGAAGGUUAAGAGGAUCCGUCAGCUUCUGCGAAGCGGUGAAUUCAAGCCCCGGUAAACGGCGGUGGUAACUAUAACCAUCCUAAGGUAGCGAAAUUCCUUGUCGGGUAAGUUCCGACCUGCACGAAUGGCGUAACGACUUCCCCACUGUCUCGACCAGGAGCUCGGCGAAAUUGCAGUACGAGUAAAGAUGCUCGUUAAGCGCAGAAGGACGAAAAGACCCCGGGACCUUUACUAUACCUUGGUAUUGGCAUUAGGCGCGGAUUGUGUAGCAUAGGCGGGAGGCUUCGAGGCGGGUGCGCCAGCAUCCGCGGAGCCGCAAGGUGAAAUACCGCUCUGUUCUCGUUUGAUGUCUAACCUCGAACAGUCAUCCUGUUCAGGGACAGUGCCUGGCGGGUAGUUCAACUGGGGCGGUUGCCUCCCAAAGAGUAACGGAGGCGCUCAAAGGUCCGCUCAGC